This 516-nucleotide ribosomal RNA is filed under the name uncultured Thermococcus sp. RNAcentral describes it as "bacterial SSU rRNA". It matches the Rfam family "Archaeal small subunit ribosomal RNA", at positions 339 to 856 of the family's 1478-position model. The record is from RNAcentral. Lineage: Archaea; Methanobacteriati; Methanobacteriota; Thermococci; Thermococcales; Thermococcaceae.
GCGCGAAACCUCCGCAAUGCGGGAAACCGCGACGGGGGGACCCCGAGUGCCGUGGCAACGCCACGGCUUUUCCGGAGUGUAAAAAGCUCCGGGAAUAAGGGCUGGGCAAGGCCGGUGGCAGCCGCCGCGGUAAUACCGGCGGCCCGAGUGGUGGCCGCUAUUAUUGGGCCUAAAGCGUCCGUAGCCGGGCCCGUAAGUCCCUGGCGAAAUCCCACGGCUCAACCGUGGGGCUUGCUGGGGAUACCGCGGGUCUUGGGACCGGGAGAGGCGGGGGGUACCCCUGGGGUAGGGGUGAAAUCCUAUAAUCCCAGGGGAACCGCCAGUGGCGAAGGCGCCCCGCUGGAACGGGUCCGACGGUGAGGGACGAAGGCCAGGGGAGCAAACCGGAUUAGAUACCCGGGUAGUCCUGGCUGUAAAGGAUGCGGGCUAGGUGUCGGGUGAGCCUCGAGCUCGCCCGGUGCCGUAGGGAAGCCGUUAAGCCCGCCGCCUGGGGAGUACGGCCGCAAGGCUGAAACU